GCGUCUAUUAGUGCAUCAACCCUUUUUAAAACGUGUUUAUAUGAAAUUCUAUGAGCUAAAUAUACUUCCUGCUCUGGUCAAAGAUUGUAUCCACCCAUCACUCACCACCAUUCAAGUGGUUAAGCCCUGUUCUCGCUAGCUGUCUGUAGUUGUGACAUACUAUAAUGUUUACAAGGAGAGUUAAGCCCUGCGUGACUCUAUAUGAUGGUGAAGUUGCUGACAGUUGUUAAUGUCAAAGUAUCACAGGUGAAGAAUGGACUUCACAUUGCGUCACAAGGCUUCCUUGCUUCACGUGACAUUUGAAAGCAACCUUUGUCAUCAGCGUAAACCAGAAUGCAGCACUCAUCAAUAGUCUCCACCUGAUGCCACCCUGGCCCACUCUGCCUCAGCAUCACAGAGCGAGAGCUAUAGGCAAGAUGUAAGGCUUGUUAGAUUACACUGAUAAUAUCAUUCAAAUGAGAUCAAGUUUUAAUAUUUUUUCCGUUAAUAAAGCAGAAAUACAAUUCCUAUUCAGAUUCAUAGAAAGUGU
Notolabrus celidotus (New Zealand spotty) is the source of this 529-nucleotide long non-coding RNA. RefSeq lists it as uncharacterized. NCBI's taxonomy places the organism in Eukaryota, Metazoa, Chordata, Actinopteri, Labriformes, Labridae. The record is from RefSeq and is a predicted model, not a curated record. The transcript has 3 exons.